GUCAGGUAGAGAAUACCAAGGAGAUCGAGAGAAUCGUGGUUAAGGAACUCGGCAAAAUGCCCCCGUAACUUCGGGAGAAGGGGGGCCUGAGGCGUGAAGGGAUUUACUCCUGGAGCGUUUGAAGGCCGCAGAGACCAGUGGGAAGCGACUGUUUACUAAAAACACAGGUCCGUGCUAAGUCGCAAGACGAUGUAUACGGACUGACGCCUCCCCGGUGCUGGAAGGUUAAGAGGAACGGUUAGCCGUAAGGCGAAGCUGAGAAUUUAAGCCCCAGUAAACGGCGGUGGUAACUAUAACCAUCCUAAGGUAGCGAAAUUCCUUGUCGGGUAAGUUCCGACCUGCACGAAUGGCGUAACGACUUCCCAGCUGUCUCAACCGCGAACUCGGCGAAAUUGCACUACGAGUAAAGAUGCUCGUUACGCGCAGAAGGACGGAAAGACCCCGUGACCUUUACUAUAGCUUUGUAUUGGUGUUCGGUGUGGCUUGUGUAGGAUAGGUGGGAGACUUUGAAGCUUGGACGCUAGUUCAGGUGGAGUCAUUGUUGAAAUACCACUCUGGUCACUCUGGAUAUCUAACUUCGGACCGUAAUCCGGUUCAGGGACAGUGCAUGGUGGGUAGUUUAACUGGGGCGGUUGCCUCCCAAAAAGUAACGGAGGCGCCCAAAGGUUCCCUCAACCUGGUUGGUAAUCAGGUGUCGAGUGUAAGUGCACAAGGGAGCUUGACUGUGAGAGUGACAACUCGAGCAGGGACGAAAGUCGGGACUAGUGAUCCGGCAGUGGCUUGUGGAAGCGCUGUCGCUCAACGGAUAAAAGGUACCUCGGGGAUAACAGGCUGAUCUUGCCCAAGAGUCCAUAUCGACGGCAUGGUUUGGCACCUCGAUGUCGGCUCGUCGCAUCCUGGGGCUGGAGUAGGUCCCAAGGGUUGGGCUGUUCGCCCAUUAAAGCGGUACGCGAGCUGGGUUUAGAACGUCGUGAGACAGUUCGGUCCCUAUCCUCUGCGCGCGCAGGAAAUUUGAGAAGAGCUAUCCCUAGUACGAGAGGACCGGGAUGGACGAACCUCUGGUGUGUCAGUUGUUCCGCCAGGAGCACCGCUGAUUAGCUACGUUCGGAACGGAUAACCGCUGAAAGCAUCUAAGCGGGAAGCCGGCUUCAAGAUGAGAUUUCCAUGGCUUAGGCCGAGAGACCCGCAGCUAGACUACUGCGUUGAUAGGCUGGAUGUGGAAGUGGGGACUAAAGACCCAUGGAGCUGACCAGUACUAAUAGGUCGAUAAAUUG
RNAcentral lists this ribosomal RNA (1274 nucleotides) under metagenome. Its description in RNAcentral is "bacterial LSU rRNA". It matches the Rfam family "Bacterial large subunit ribosomal RNA", at positions 1666 to 2925 of the family's 2925-position model. The record is from RNAcentral.